Long non-coding RNA from Ictalurus punctatus (channel catfish), 1546 nucleotides. NCBI's taxonomy places the organism in Eukaryota, Metazoa, Chordata, Actinopteri, Siluriformes, Ictaluridae. The record is from Ensembl.
GUUUUUUUCUAUUUUACCCCAGGGAAUGAAGUGCAGGUGGGAACUGAAAUGAUCGCAUCAAACGUACACUUAACUCACGGAAACUACGAACCCUUAACUACACAAAGAACCCAUUGAAGAACAACUUUUUUUAAAGGGUGCACAGCGCUGAUGGACUGCUAUGAUUUAUUUCCCGUUGCUGUUUAUACUGCGCUCCGCUCUUCUGGGAAGGCUUUCCGUUCGAUUUUGGAUCGCGGCUGUGGGGAUUUGUGUUCAUCGGUGGGCGAGGAGGCCUGGCACUGGGGCGUUCCAGUUCAUCCCAAACUUGGGGCUGAGGUCAGAUUGAAAAGAAUUUAUACUUUUCUCAUGAGUUUGUUUGUUGUUGUUUUUUGUUGUUUUUGUUCCUGAAUGCCACGUUCCUCUCUUAAUAUGUAUUUUUUUUUCCUGUAAGAAAGACAGAAAGAAAAAUAGAUAGGAAGAAAGAAGAAAGAAAGAAAGAGUGACAGAACGAGGGGGUCUCCAGCUGUGUCCCAUUAGCACCAGAGCAUAUGGCAGCAGGAAAUGUCCCGAGGGGGCAGCAGUAGCAGAGUUCAGAGGUCACUGAGGGUUUGGAUUUCCUAAGCACAGCACCCCUGUGGUUCCCAGUCGGUUCUCUUCCUUCAGCAACGGCCCCCCCUCCUCCUCUCGCUCAGUUGGAAAAAUAUUAGUCUUCAUCCGACACAGAGGAAGAGCAGGAGGAGGAGGAGGGGGAUGAGUGCUCUUCUUUUCCCGACCAAUUGGAUAUUUUACCGAAAUAAUGCAUCUUUUCUCCUUCCUGCCUGCAUUUCCCAAAGCACGGAAUAGGCUGUAAAGCACCCGGUUAUCAUGAAAUCAGCAAUGGAACUCUGAACUACAGUUCCCAACAGCCACUGCCUCAUUGUCACAUGACCACCCGCGCCUGAUUGACGUUCCUGGUACAUUCCAGGUGGAACGCUGGGAAGCACUAAAACGAGCUACAAAGAGAAAUCGACAGUCAGAUGGCGCGACUGUCAAAGGGUUCACGCGGGUUAUCGCUACCGCCGAUAAGACAAGCAAACUACAGUGCAGGAGGCAAACAAGCGAAGUGAACAAGCUUGUCCAGCUGCUCUGGACGGAUAAACACACCUGAGGGAACCGGACUGCUCCAAACACCAUCAACACCAUCAUCACGGCUCCUGCUGAGCACAAACAGGAGGGGGGAAGGAGAGAGAGAGAGAGAGAGAGAGAGAGAGAGAGAGAGAGAGAGCAUCAAUAUGCAGACGAUGUAUUAUUAAUGCUAGCAUUAAUGGUAAAAAAAAGAAAAAUAAAAUAACAUCUAUGAAUAUCUUAAUGUUUUUAGAAAUCGGUGCUGGUUUUGAAAAUGUAUUAAUAAAAACUUAAAAAUCCUUCAAAACUCCUGUCAGGUUAGCUAAUGUUAGCUACUUGGCUAACGCUAACGUGGCAUGUUAGCUAGCUGGUUAGUUUUAACAGUGGCGUUUCAUGAAUAAGACUUUAAAGUACUUAAAAUUCAAGAAAUCCUGUCAGGUUAGCACAUGCUAAUAAUGUGGCC